GGUAGAGGCAGAGGGGAGAGGGGGAGGUAGAGGCAGAGGGGAGAGGGGGAGGUAGAGGCAGAGGGGAGAGGGGGAGGUAGAGGCAGAGGGGAGAGGGGGAGGUAGAGGCAGAGGGGAGAGGGGGAGGUAGAGGCAGAGGGGAGAGGGGGAGGUAGAGGCAGAGGGGAGAGGGGGAGGUAGAGGCGGAGAGGGAGAGUCAAAUAUAUAUAUCAAACAGCAACCCCUUGAACCAAUUUAACAUUAAGCAGUGUGCCACUGCAAAGUCACAUGUCUUCCAUUUUCUAUAAUGGUGCUGGUCCUUUUCAUACAAACAAUAAUGCACCAUUGGUCAUGUGUAGGGAGAUGGAAUUACUACAAUCAUAAUAGUGUUAUGUCACACAUAUCCAUUCAGAUCUGCAGUAGUUGUUUAGGCACAGUACAUAGCGAUUGUGCAUACAAACACAGACAGUGAAAUUUAGAUUUUACACUUAACAUGCCACCAUGCUAACAUCAUCUACUUCAAGUGUCGCAAACAAAUUUUAAAUAGUGACACAUUCUCUCGUGAAUCUACAUCAUCACAAUAUUUCCAUAUGAAAUGAAUGACAUGCCACUUAUCACACAGUAUAAAAUACCAAUAUUUUCUCAUUCACUGUAUCGUGUCAAAUAGUUUAUGUAAGUUAUCAUAUAAAAGUCUGGUUUUCACAAUUUCAAUCUCAAUACAAAAUCCUCCUCUUCAGAGUUGGUCAGGUACCUUCAGCUCCUCAUAUCAUUGUUAAAAAUCAUCGAACUAAUUUACUGCCAGGAAAUGACAAUAUAACUGCAAUUUAUGUUCAAACUGCUAAACUGCUUUGUACCUUUAACAAGGCAAAUAAUUCUACGGUCACAUCAUUAUGCGCACAUAUGCGCGCGCCCACACACACACACACACACACACACACACACACACACACACACACACACACACACACACACACACACACAGCAUAUUACUGACCACUAGUGUCCAGAACUUCCAUCUUACUACAUCAAAUGUCUUUGUUCAUCACACUUAUUUCCACUUUUUUAAAGACAUACCUUCACAUAACUCACAUUCAUAUAGAACACAAAAUUUCAGAAAUAUUUUAUACAACAAUGGACAUAAGUAUGCAAUACAUUUCAAUGAAUUUAUUUUUAAACUGUAUAAAUAUUUAGUUAUAACUAAUUUAGCCAGCACAACUUCUGAAAACCGUUUCCUUCAGUAAACAAUUGAGUAGCAUAGAUCAGAAAACACAGAGAAAAAGUACCUGCAGUUCAGAAAUAAUGGCCAGUUACAUAACAAUUUUGAGAUGUGGACUUAGUAUUUGCUUGUCAUCAUCAAUUUUUUUUUUCCUUCCGUUUUUCUUUUCUUGUAGCAUUCAUAGAGAUUGGCCAAUUUUCCAUCUGUUAAAGAGCAACAUUUUUUCUAUCAUUUCAUAUGAAACUGUCUUUCUUGUUAUAAACUCUUCACUGAGACUUACUGCUAUCACAUUGCUUCAUCUCUGUGACAACAUCUGGUACUUUCAAUUUAUAUGAAACAUGUGAAGAAAGGAAUACUGUAACUAUAAAAUGAAUUUUAUUCUGUACUUUCUCUUUUCUGUAACUUGCACUUCAUUACUUCAUCCUUUUAAACAUCUACAGAAUUUAUAAUCAAGUUCAAUAAAUGAACACAUUCCCCGAGAUGUUUUCUUAGAAAUUUCUCAUUAACACUGUUUGAAUAACUGAACUUUCACAAACACAUAAUUUUGUAAAAUUCUCCUCUUAUCUACAUUCAGUUUCCCAUUUUGUUCUUAGCUGUAAUAAUUAAUGACUUUCUUAUCACACAGCUCUCUGCACACAGCAUAACUCAGUAGUACAUAGCAAGAGGAAUAUAAAUACAGACAGAAAAAUGCCAUAUCAGCUAACACUUCAUUUUUGAGAACUGAUAUAAAACCAAACAACACAAAAAAGAAGUGUUCUCAAAUACAACAGAACAAUGUAUCAUUUUUCCAUUACAUAAAGAUAAGAAGACAGAUGGCCUCAGUCAAAACACUAACUACUUGCCCAGAGCUACACAACAAUUACACCAGUCUUUCUGACUCAAAAAUAAUGUCAACUACCACAGAGAUUUUCCUGCACACAGAAAAAAUAGUUAUGUAGCAAAACACAUCACAACAGCAACAUUAACAACAACUGAAAUGCCAGCACGACAUGAAGGAACUUUCUUAUGGAUGAAACCUCAACUGUUUUGGCAAACAUGGACAGAAUUCCUUAUAAGGUAGGUACUAAUGAAUCAAAUCUGACACUGAUCAUGCAACAUUCACUCAAAUGAAAAGGAUCAUCGUUCUGAGCAACACGACUAUACCACCAACAAAGCAUUUCUACACAUCAAACCUUAAUGGCUACUAUGCUUCAGAAAAUUUCAUAACAAAAUCCUCAGAAGAAUCUGCAAGAAAACAGUGUAAAAGAUACGGUACGCGUCCAUGUGUGCGCCCCCCCCCCCCCCCAC
Schistocerca gregaria is the source of this 2482-nucleotide long non-coding RNA. RefSeq lists it as uncharacterized. The transcript has 3 exons. The record is from RefSeq and is a predicted model, not a curated record. Lineage: Eukaryota; Metazoa; Arthropoda; Insecta; Orthoptera; Acrididae.